AUUCCAGCUCUAAUAGCGUAUAUUCAAGUUGUUGCAGUUAAAAAGCUCGUAGUUGAAUUUUAAAUCCGGGAAGAAGGUCGCGGCGCAAGUCGCGUACUUUCCCCCCGGAUUUCACCUUCUGGAUACCUGCGUGUCAUUAAUUUGGUGCAUAGGGAUGCCAGGACUGUAACUUUGAAAAAAUUAGAGUGUUUAAAACAGGCUUACGCUUGAAUACAUUAGCAUGGAAUAACGGAAUAGGACUUUGUUUUUAUUUUGUUGGUUUAUAGAGAUAAAGUAAUGAUUAAUAGGGACAGUUGGGGGCAUUAGUAUUCCAUAGUCAGAGGUGAAAUUCUUGGAUUUAUGAAAGACUAACUUCUGCGAAAGCAUUUGUCAAGGAUGUUUUCAUCG
Molecule: ribosomal RNA, 387 nt
Filed under: Chytridiomycetes sp.
Lineage: Eukaryota; Fungi; Chytridiomycota; Chytridiomycetes
Description: partial small subunit ribosomal RNA
Rfam family: Eukaryotic small subunit ribosomal RNA
Source: RNAcentral